RNAcentral lists this ribosomal RNA (238 nucleotides) under uncultured Actinomycetales bacterium. RNAcentral's name for it is "partial 16S ribosomal RNA". It matches the Rfam family "Bacterial small subunit ribosomal RNA", at positions 92 to 334 of the family's 1533-position model. The record is from RNAcentral. Lineage: Bacteria; Bacillati; Actinomycetota; Actinomycetes; Actinomycetales.
CGAGUGGCGAACGGGUGAGUAACACGUGGGCGAUCUGCCCUGCACUCUGGGAUAAGCCUGGGAAACUGGGUCUAAUACCGGAUAGGACCAUGCUUUAGUGUGUGUGGUGGAAAGUUUUUCGGUGUAGGAUGAGCCCGCGGCCUAUCAGCUUGUUGGUGGGGUAAUGGCCUACCAAGGCGGCGACGGGUAGCCGGCCUGAGAGGGUGUACGGCCACAUUGGGACUGAGAUACGGCCCAG